GAUGAACGCUGGCGGCGUGCCUAAUACAUGCAAGUCGAGCGAACAGAUGAGGAGCUUGCUCCUCUGACGUUAGCGGCGGACGGGUGAGUAACACGUGUAUAACCUACCUAUAAGACUGGGAUAACUUCGGGAAACCGGAGCUAAUACCGGAUAAUAUAUUGAACCGCAUGGUUCAAUAGUGAAAGACGGUUUUGCUGUCACUUAUAGAUGGAUCCGCGCCGCAUUAGCUAGUUGUUAAGGUAACGGCUUACCAAGGCAACGAUGCGUAGCCGACCUGAGAGGGUGAUCGGCCACACUGGAACUGAGACACGGUCAAGACGCCUACGGGAGGCAGCAGUAGGGAAUCUUACGCAAUGGGCGAAAGCAUGACGGAGCAACGCCGCGUGAGUGAUGAAGGUCUUCGGAUCGUAAAAAUCUGUUAUUAGGGAAGAACAAAUGUGUAAGUAAAUAUGGACGUAUUGACGGUAACUAAUCAGAAAGCCACGGCUAACUACGUG
Molecule: ribosomal RNA, 497 nt
Filed under: uncultured bacterium
Lineage: Bacteria
Description: partial 16S ribosomal RNA
Rfam family: Bacterial small subunit ribosomal RNA
Source: RNAcentral